ACUAAAAAUACAAACAAACAAGAAAUUAGCCGAGCGUGGUGGUGGGCACCUGUAGUCCCAG
This 61-nucleotide non-coding RNA is filed under the name Homo sapiens (human). The record is from RNAcentral. Lineage: Eukaryota; Metazoa; Chordata; Mammalia; Primates; Hominidae.